This is a long non-coding RNA of Suricata suricatta (meerkat), 2394 nucleotides long. RefSeq lists it as uncharacterized. The record is from RefSeq and is a predicted model, not a curated record. Lineage: Eukaryota; Metazoa; Chordata; Mammalia; Carnivora; Herpestidae. The transcript is spliced from 3 exons.
CAGCCUGCGCCGGGAGGUCUGCGGCCUCGAUGAAAAAUGCAAUGUUCAGAGAGGGCCAAGCUUAACAGCAACCUAAGGCCAGAGUAGGGUCAGGGCCCCGUGGUCGACCUGCCCACCCAGAACGCCGGCCCCAGAGAACUCUCGUGUACCCAGUGGAUCGCCCGGCCCUUCUCCACUUCGCAGCCGUGACAACCUGUUACGUUCGUGGACUUCUGCCUCCCAGACUGUCGCCGCGGUUGUUCAUUCACAGCUGACGCUCUUGAGAGCCGCGCGGUGCUCUCUGAGGUUGUUUUGAAGGUGUGAGGGAGCCUCUGGCGGAGACCCUUGACCCUAGACUCAUUGUUGUCCUCUCUGAGUCACAGCAUCUGUGUGAGAUGGGAGAAAGCCGGCUCUCCCCCUCCCCCACAGGGAUUGUCACUUGGCUGUCAUGAUGAAAGGCACCUUGUGGCUCCAGACCUGUCUUCUGAGUCCUCUCUAUGGCAGCGUCUGCGGCGGAAGCAUGUUUUCCGUGCCAGACUGGGGGGAUCGAGCCAGAGCCUGCCCGAUCGUGCCUGGUGGGAGGGCACCACCGUUGCGUAGGGGAGAGAAGCCCGGUGCGCAGGUCACUUAGCCGGAGGAGAGACCCUGCUGGAAGCCGCCAGGGCUUUGGCUCCUCCGGGCAGGAUUGUAACAUGUUAUCCACAGGAAGCUGCUUGGGAUUCCAGGGAGCAGAUGAGCCAAGCUGGCUGGGCUGAGACCGCUUCUGUGGGGCUCCAGGUUCUCGGAGCCGGGAAGAAUCGGGUGGGCCGGGGCCCAGAUGUGUGAUGCAGACAUCUGGACCAGAAGUGGAUCCAGCCUGACCCUUCCUCCUGGGGCUUGGGCCCCCGCAUGAGUCCUGGAUGUCAGCUUAAGUGUCCUGCGAGAGAGGGAAGGCUCCCUCUGGACACGGGCCGCACGCUCCUGAUGUGAACUGGGGCCACGUGAACUUGACCUGGCCCCUGUGUCUAGUGUGAACCAUGGACAGGCACUGGGAGGGGAGGGGCCUAUGUCAUGCUGAAUGUCUUUGGGCCCUGCCCGGGCUGAACACUUUUCAGAGCCGCUCUGCCUGGAUCGAUGUCCCCUGUUAGGUGGCCUAGGGCAUUCUCUCUCUGGCCAGGAGUGCUGGGGGCGGGGGAGAGGCAUGUUCCACGUUCACUGUUUUCUUUUAUUCUUGAAAUUGUCCUAGAAGGUGGGUGUUGUUGCCCUCUGCUCUUUGUCCUGGGGAGCAGGUGCAGGUUUUAGAGGUGACGUAACGUGUCCCCAGGCACAUGGCUGGUAAGUGGCGGAAUCUAAGCCUAAGCUCUUAGCGGAGGUGGGUCGGCCCGUCCCUCUUCUCAGGGUGCUGGUGGCCCGGUCAUCACAGGUGCGCAGGUGGACUGAGGAGAGGCCCAGGCGGAGGUAGGAGUGGUUCCCUCAGGGGGGCACAGGAGAGGGACACCCACGGCUGAUCAGCGGGAUAGUACGGGGCCUCUGAGAGGAGCCGAGGCGGCGCAGGACUUGCCUGGGCCAAGGGGGAGAGGCUGGCCCGGCUGGAAGGGUCGUGGAGGCUGUGGCAGUGGUGUGGGCCCUUGGCCCGGCCUCAGGGAGUUUUGUGGCUGUUGACUUGGGCGGCCUGCUCUGCGCCUGUCGCACGGCCGCUGCAGCAAGGCCUAAGGAAGUAGGUCCUGCGAGCGCCCCAAUUUGCAGGUGAGAAAACCAAGCUUCAUUCAGGAAGCAAGGCGACUGACCCAAGGUCAUGUAGCUGGGAGGUGGCGGAACUGGGAUUUGUGGUCCCAGCUGAGGCCCGCCAGAUGCCGACAGCCGUCCUGCAGGGAGUUCAUGGAAUGAACCAGAAGGAAUGAAGGGGGGAACCAGCCUUCCAGUGAGCCUCCCGGCCGGACCCUUUCCCAUUUGGCCAGGAACUACAGGACAAGCGACAGCUUCACGGGGACAGCAUGAGGAGCAAGCGAGACACGGCAGGUCCAGGCCCUGCACAGAGCCGGACCCCGGCCUUGCUGCUGCUGUUUCUGUUGUAAAGGACACAAAGCGCCUGGCCCGGGCCGGACGUGGUAUUGGGGUUGUGCUCGGGCGGUCCCUGAGGACAACCCGGGGCUCCCUGGGGCCCCUCGCCUCCAGCCCAGUGAGGCAGGCCUGCGCCGUGGGGGGAAGUGUAACCGUUUGGGUGGUGAGCGGUGCCUCUUUCAGUUCCUGGGCCUAUUUUUAAGGCCUGUGGGUUCCGGCCUCUGUCCGUUUCUGGGGCCAGAGGGACCUGCGAGGGUGCCGUGCGGCAUCUUGGGAAUGAGGACUCUGGACGUCACACUUCAAGGAGACCGAGGAACGGGGGCCCCUGGGGGGCUCAGCCCGUGGAGCGUCCGACUUUGGCUCUGGUCAUGAUCU